RNAcentral lists this ribosomal RNA (274 nucleotides) under uncultured bacterium. Its description in RNAcentral is "partial 16S ribosomal RNA". It matches the Rfam family "Bacterial small subunit ribosomal RNA", at positions 523 to 796 of the family's 1533-position model. The record is from RNAcentral.
AUACGUAGGGUGCGAGCGUUGUUCGGAAUCAUUGGGCGUAAAGCGCGUGUAGGCGGCCAUCUAAGUCUGGUGUGAAAGCCCGGGGCUUAACCCCGGAAGUGCACUGGAUACUGAAUGGCUAGAGGAUGAGAGAGGAAGGUGGAAUUCCCAGUGUAGAGGUGAAAUUCGUAGAUAUUGGGAAGAACACCGGUGGCGAAGGCGGCCAUCUGGCUCGGCUCUGACGCUGAGGCGCGAAAGCGUGGGGAGCAAACAGGAUUAGAAACCCCAGUAGUCC